This 794-nucleotide unclassified non-coding RNA is filed under the name Priapulus caudatus. Its description in RNAcentral is "uncharacterized LOC106806323, transcript variant X1". Lineage: Eukaryota; Metazoa; Priapulida; Priapulimorpha; Priapulimorphida; Priapulidae. The record is from RNAcentral.
CAACAUCGCCAGCUGAUGAGCGAUUUUGUAGGCGGAAUUGUAUAACGAAGAAUGCAAUAAUUCUAAUCGUCAACCGAGAUCAGCUCACUCGUGUUACAAAUACACACAUUCGCAACUAACACACACAUUACACUUUACAGUCAUAUUGAUUUUUUCCCUGCCUCAGAAUUGGAAAUCGGCGAAGGAAAAUUAGCAGAAAACUGGGGCGAUGAAAAAUCGCCGCCUAGCGGUAUGCUUCUCCGCGCAGCCUCUCUGCUGUCUUCAUCCGUCGGUGUCGGCCCUCCGCUGCUUUGUACUAGAAAUCAACCGAUUUCGCUAUUAGCUUGCAAUCUUGGGUAUUGCCGGAUUGCUGAUGUGUUCCAUGUAAGUUUUUCUCAAAGGGCAAGGUAGUAGAGGACAAUGCUGCUUGCAGUUUGCUAAGCAAGGGAAGUGUUGCUGACUGUGGUUCUCUGGUUCUCUGGGAAUUCCAUCCACCCGUACUAAUGGUGACACUCAUUACCGAGAAGCUAAAGAGCCAUUCCCUAGAGGAUCCCGACCACCUUGCCAUCACAUACACAACUUCCCCAGGUUGUAAAAACCGCCCGUGGAAGUAACGACAGCCGACACUUAAUGAUACUAGUGACCGCUGGCGGGGAAAUUGGCCUGGCAAAUCUUCUUCCGCAACUGAACAUGAUCUGCACUGGAGCGUUAAUGCAGACCCCGUACACAGCGGUCCCACACGUCCGGAUCGGCGCCUUCUAAUGGCCUUCCAUUUCGACGCUCUGUGACGAGAUGUUCCUUCAGUGGCGAUAGUU